UACAGAGGGUGCGAGCGUUGUCCGGAAUCACUGGGCGUAAAGGGCGCGUAGGUGGCGAUCCAAGUCCAUGGUGAAAGCUCGAUGCUCAACAUCGAGUCGGCCACGGAUACUGGGUUGCUUGAGCACUGUGAGGGGCAGAGUGGAAUUCCGGGUGUAGCGGUGGAAUGCGUAGAGAUCCGGAAGAACACCGGUGGCGAAGGCGGUCUGCUGGGCAGUUGCUGACACUGAGGCGCGACAGCGUGGGGAGCAACAGG
Molecule: ribosomal RNA, 254 nt
Filed under: uncultured bacterium
Lineage: Bacteria
Description: partial 16S ribosomal RNA
Rfam family: Bacterial small subunit ribosomal RNA
Source: RNAcentral